UCCCAGAAUGAUUUCACUACAGACUCUCUGGAAAGCCUGGGAGCUGAAUUCCGGAAGAUCCCCACAUCGAUGAAAGCAAAGCGAAGCCACCAAGCCGUCAUCAUGUCCACGUCGCUACGAGUCAGCCCAUCCAUCCAUGGCUACCACUUCGACACAGCCUCUCGUAAGAAAGCCGUGGGCAACAUCUUUGAAAACACAGACCAAGAAUCACUAGAAAGGCUCUUCAGAAACUCUGGAGACAAGAAAGCAGAGGAGAGAGCCAAGAUCAUUUUUGCCAUAGAUCAAGAUGUGGAGGAGAAAACGCGUGCCCUGAUGGCCUUGAAGAAGAGGACAAAAGACAAGCUUUUCCAGUUUCUGAAACUGCGGAAAUAUUCCAUCAAAGUUCACUGAAGAGAAGAGGAUGGAUAAGGACGUUAUCCAAGAAUGGACAUUCAAAGACCAAGUGAGUUUGUGAGAUUCUAACAGAUGCAGCAUUUUGCUGCUACCUUACAAGCUUCUCUUCUGUCAGGACUCCAGAGGCUGGAAAGGGACCGGGACUGGAAAGGGACCAGGACUGAACAGACUGGUUACAAAGACUCCAAACAAUUUCAUGCCCUGUGCUGUUACAGAGGAGAACAAAAUGCUUUCAGCAAGGAUUUGAAAACUCUUCCGUCCCUGCAGGAAAGGAUUGAUGCUGAUAGAAGAGCCUGGACAGAUGUAAUGAGAACUAAAGAAAACAGAUGGCUGGAGAUGACAUUUAUCCAGGGUCACUUUGUCAGGCCCUAGGACUUAAAUCGAAGUUGAACUUUUUUUUUUUUUUUUAACCAAAUAGAUAGGGGAAGGGAGGAGGGAGAGGGAGGACAGGGAGAGAAAAUACCAUGCAUAAAUUGUUUACUGAAUUUUUAUAUCUGAGUGUUCAAAAUAUUUCCAAGCCUGAGUAUUGUCUAUUGGUAUAGAUUUUUAGAAAUCAAUAAUUGAUUAUUUAUUUGCACUUAUUACAAUGCCUGAAAAAGUGCACCACAUGGAUGUUAAGUAGAAAUUCAAGAAAGUAAGAUGUCUUCAGCAACUCAGUAAAACCUUACGCCACCUUUUGGUUUGUAAAAGGUUUUUUAUACAUUUCAAACAGGUUGCACAAAAGUUAAAAUAAUGGGGUCUUUUAUAAAUCCAAAGUACUGUGAAAACAUUUUACAUAUUUUUUAAAUCUUCUGACUAAUGCUAAAACGUAAUCUAAUUAAAUUUCAUACAGUUACUGCAGUAAGCAUUAGGAAGUGAAUAUGAUAUACAAAAUAGUUUAUAAAGACUCUAUAGUUUCUAUAAUUUAUUUUACUGGCAAAUGUCAUGCAACAAUAAUAAAUUAUUGUAAACUUUGUGGCUUUUGGUCUGUGAUGCUUGGUCUCAAAGGAAAAAAUAAGAUGGUAAAUGUUGAUAUUUACAAACUUUUCUAAAGAUGUGUCUCUAACAAUAAAAGUUAAUUUUAGAGUAGUUUUAUAUUAAUUACCAAACUUUUUCAAAACAAAUUCUUACGUCAAAUAUCUGGGAAGUUUCUCUGUCCCAAUCUUAAAAUAUAAAAUAUAGAUAUAGAAGUUCAUAGAUUGACUCCUUGGCAUUUCUAUUUAUGUAUCCAUUAAGGAUGAGUUUUAAAAGGCUUUCUCUUCAUACUUUUGAAAAAUUUCUUCUAUGAUUACAGUAGCUAUGUACAUGUGUACAUCUAUUUUUCCCAAGCAAUAUGUUUUGGGUUUAGAGUCUGAGUGAUGACCAAGAUUCUGUGUGUUACUACUGUUUGUUUAAUAGGAACAAAUAUAGAAAUAAUAUUAUCUCUUUGCUUAUUUCCCGUUAAAACUAUAAUAAAAUGUUUCUAGGACAGCAUACGUAAAUGCCUGCUAUGCUUUCCUAACAAAAAUGAAAUUUUUCCACAAGUUAAGCAUUUUAGAAACACCUAAAGUGUUUUUCAAAAUGCUGAUCACAGUAAGUCAAAACAAGUGAAUUACCUCACAUCUGCUGGGAGGGUUACAAGUCAGGAUUAUAAAUACUAUGUUUUUAAAAAGAAAAUCAAAUGGCAAAUUCUAUUUUCAAAUAGUAAUUUACUCGUUCACUGAAGAUAAUGCAAAGCACUUUAUUAAAAAUGAGUUCUUUCCAAGAGAGCAUUCCGGAAGAUAACACAUUAAUAUGCAAAAUUGUGUGUGUGUGUGUGUGUGUGUGUGUGUGUGCAUUUUUCUAAGAGGAAUAUUGAUAAUUUUCACGAGAUUUGUAGAGACAGCUAUAACUCCAAAAAAAGUUAUAAACAGAAAAAGGGUUUGCGGAGUAGCAGGAGAAUUGGAGGAAGCCUAACCCAGGCUGGGGACAUACUAGACAAUUCCAUAGAAAUUUUCCCUGUUUCAUUUUCACUGUGCUGUGUUACGGGAGUAUGAAAGAGAAGGCUGUAAAGAGGCCCUCGGCUCCAUAACCCUACUUUCCCAUCCUUAUGAACUGAGCUUUCUUAAUGUUCACUGCGUGUGCUAGAAAUAACUUCCUUCUCCUGAUAGGGCCCAUCAGUGAAAAUCUUUAUUUUCUAUUCAAAAAUUGAAGCACACUUGGAUGCUAAAUGUAGUUCAAGAGUUAAGUGUAUUAUACAUACUCAUAACUAUUUACUCUGCCACUGUUGUUUUCAAUAGGGUACAAAGUAUAUCUUCUCCUCUUUUCACAUUAGCAUGUAUUAAGUUGUUUUCUUGCAGUAUAUUACGUUAUUUUCUGAUUUCAAGGCUGUAACAUGGGAGACAAAUUAAAAAGCAAUUUGGAUGCACUCCACAAUGGUAUGGAGAAUAAUAACACAUCCAGUAGAUUAUCACAAACGUGUCAUCUUUACCAUUCAUGGAGAACAAAAGUUGGAAUCAAUUUAAUUGCAUAAGGAUGAUUUUUAGCUUCAUAAUACAUUCAUUACUUAAUGUGAGGUGAAAAUAAACAUCAGUAGAACAGGGAGGAUUGGUUCAGUUUAGAAAUUUAUGGCACAAGGAUAAACAAAUAUAUCUCAGGACAUCUCACUGUAAUUGAAGAAAUGAAAGCAGCAAAGAUUAAAUAGCUCGUUAAUCAUAUUUGUAUCAUGAGAUCACAGUAAUAACUUUCACUGAGUGUUUACUCUCAGUCAGACAAUUUUCUAAGUGUUUUUUUUGUGUAUUACUAAUACAUCACUUAAUUAGUGCCAUGACAUAAAUGCUAAGGGCAUGUGCGUGUGUAAUAUAGUAAUAAAACUGAAGCACAGAGAGGUGCAGUAACUUGGUCAAUGACACGCAGCUAAUAACUCCAGAAAUCAAAUCCAGGAACUCUGGCCUUCAUUCCCAGCCACUAGACUAUACCGGUUCUUUAGGAGAAACCAAGCUUCUCUUUUUCUUUUAAGUAACGAUACUUCUAUGUUAGUCAGUCAUGAAGACAGGAAGGCCUGGCCUCUGAAGCAUCACUUUUAUCUGACCUGGCCCUGGUCUUGGCUGUUACAUAGUGGGAUAGCUCGAUGUGCAUACAGCGUGGUUGGCAGUAGAAAGAUCAAUAGAGGAGUUUAUAGGGUUUACGAAGACCUGGAUUCUAAUCCUGCCUCAGCUAUUUAUGAGGAAUGGCUUCAAAUGUUCAGUGGAAGUGAACAAGUUCUUGUAUUGUUUUCUCCUAUUCUCCUUCCAGCUUCAGGGUCAUAUGUCACAGCGCUGGGCAUUUCAUUUGGGUAUCUAUCAUCAUUCCCAUUCUGCAAUGAGGAAAUGCUGUCAGAGUGAUUAAGUAAUUUGCCCAUGGUCUCACAUAGAAGCCUGUCUUCUCCAGGGAACACAGCACUCAGAAUCGUCUCGGCCCCUGCAUAAGCCUGCAUGAGCCUGGGCUCUGGGGACCCAUCCUGGUGCAUCAUUCGUUGGCUCUGUGACAAUGGGCACAUCGUUUAACCUCUCUUGGCUUCAUUCUCCUUACUGGAAUGAUGGAGAGAGUUUUGCCUAUUUCAGAGGCUUGCUCUUCUAUACGUGAGCCUAUAAGUAACUUGUCUUAAGAAUUUCCACUCCUUCUGUACUCUGAUUUAAAUUUGAAGGCAUCAAAACAAAAACAAUCAAGAUUUCAGAUUCCAAAUACUUUCAUUUUCAUUUUUUAUUUUGAUUAGAAUUUCUUCUGAAUGAAUUUCUGUUUUGUAAUUUUAGCAUUGCCCUGAGGGGGGGAAAAGGCAGUUUAUCACCAUGCAGUAUAUUUUUCAGACAGCCUCUCUUUGACAAACUGAUUUUUGUCAGUCUCAACUGACUCACCAAUUCCAAAUCCCAGGGCUUCCCUGGGAAACUUCCUUGGAUCAUGGCUCUGCCACACAGGACCGACAUCCCAGAGGCCAAAGCAACCUGCUAUAAACUGAGAUCAUUGCUCAGCAAGCUGGUACCACAUGCAAGGAGUCUCAAGAGCUAACAGGAAAUGAUUCAAGACCAGAAUUACCCAGAACAAGUGUGUUAGCUUCCUCUGCGCAUGGGAUAAUAAGGAGCUUGCAUCACCAACCUUCCGUGAAUAGCCUACUCAGUGAUUCAACAGGUUUCAAAAUUGUGAAAUAAGGGAUGUCUCUUGCAUGGUGUACUUUAGAAGUCUCUACCUGAGGAUGAAGGAAGUACCCAGGAGUAGGCAUCAUUCCACUUUUGUACCAUCUUCCACUAUGUUUAUAUGGGUCCUCACUGAGAAAAAGGUAUUAAAAGUGAGAUGGAAAGAAUAGGUCAGCUAGGUG
Molecule: long non-coding RNA, 4681 nt
Filed under: Homo sapiens (human)
Lineage: Eukaryota; Metazoa; Chordata; Mammalia; Primates; Hominidae
Description: HSALNT0346302
Source: RNAcentral